Molecule: long non-coding RNA, 602 nt
Filed under: Nicotiana tabacum (common tobacco)
Lineage: Eukaryota; Viridiplantae; Streptophyta; Magnoliopsida; Solanales; Solanaceae
Description: long non-coding RNA (NTAB_LNC012737)
Source: RNAcentral
GACAACAACUAUGCCUCAAUCCCAAACCAAGUUGAGAUAAGCUAUAUUUAUAUCCUCAAUAUCCUCGCUCUCCUACCCAUUUCAUUUCAAUACUCUAUAGUUUGUUAAUUUAAGAGGUAUCUCGAUUUAUCAAUAUUCAAGAAUCCGCUUCAUAAGUGCACAAUACAGUUUGCAAAUGCUAACUGCUGUUAGCAGCUUCUAUUUGUAUAAAAAUACUCAAAGAAAUUCACCUCGAAACGAAGUGCCAUUAAUGCCUCUAUAUUCCACCAGGGUCAAUAGCUCAUAACUGAAACCACAAAAAGAAACUUCGUUUAGGCUAAAAAAAGUAAAACUUCAACUAUAUAUAAAACACGAACUUUAAUUCCACAACCUAAAAUUUUAUUAAAGCACAACCGCAUUGUAGCUCAGGACUAACAUAAAUAAACCAGUCAUCAUAUAAAAACGUACAUAUUCUGCUAGAUAAUGAAAGAUUCUACUAUAAGUUUAUGGCUGUCUAAUACAUGAAAUUGCUUUUAGUUAUACAAAUAAUAAUGCAUGGAAGGUGAAUACUUAGACAGGCUUACCGGUAACGGCGGAUAUAGCGGCGGCGGCGGCGGCGGCUG